This 253-nucleotide ribosomal RNA is filed under the name uncultured bacterium. Its description in RNAcentral is "partial 16S ribosomal RNA". It matches the Rfam family "Bacterial small subunit ribosomal RNA", at positions 524 to 776 of the family's 1533-position model. The record is from RNAcentral.
UACGGAGGGUGCAAGCGUUAUCCGGAUUUACUGGGUUUAAAGGGGGCGUAGGCGGGCCUUUAAGUCAGUGGUGAAAUCUCCCCGCUCAACGGGGAAACUGCCAUUGAUACUAUUGGUCUUGAAUUUAGUUGAGGUGGGCGGAAUGUGUCGUGUAGCGGUGAAAUGCUUAGAUAUGACACAGAACACCGAUUGCGAAGGCAGCUCGCUAAACUAAUAUUGACGCUGAGGCACGAAAGCGUGGGGAUCAAACAGG